RNAcentral lists this ribosomal RNA (458 nucleotides) under uncultured bacterium. Its description in RNAcentral is "partial 16S ribosomal RNA". It matches the Rfam family "Bacterial small subunit ribosomal RNA", at positions 338 to 795 of the family's 1533-position model. The record is from RNAcentral.
CCUACGGGAGGCAGCAGUGAGGAAUAUUGGUCAAUGGGCGAGAGCCUGAACCAGCCAAGUCGCGUGAGGGAGUACUGCCCUAUGGGUUGUAAACCUCUUUUGUCGGGGAGCAAAAGCCGGACGUGUCCGGCUGUGAGAGUACCCGAAGAAAAAGCAUCGGCUAACUCCGGGCCAGCAGCCGCGGUAAUACGGAGGAUGCGAGCGUUUUCCGGAUUUAUUGGGUUUAAAGGGUGCGCAGGCGGAUUUUUUAGGCAGCGGUAAAAUCGUGGGGCUCAACCCCAUCCAGCCGUUGAAACUGGGGAUCUAGAGUGUGCGAGAGGUAUGCGGAAUGCGUGGUGUAGCGGUGAAAUGCAUAGAUAUCACGCAGAACCCCGAUUGCGAAGGCAGCAUACCGGUGCACAACUGACGCUCAGGCACGAAAGCGUGGGUAUCGAACAGGAUUAGAUACCCCUGUAGUC